GACGUAGGGCGCGAGCGUUGUCCGGAUUUAUUGGGCGUAAAGAGCUCGUAGGCGGCUUGUCGCGUCGUUCGUGAAAACCUGCAGCUCAACUGCAGGCUUGCGGUCGAUACGGGCAGGCUAGAGUUCGGUAGGGGAGACUGGAAUUCCUGGUGUAGCGGUGAAAUGCGCAGAUAUCAGGAAGAACACCCGUGGCGAAGGCGGUUCUCUGGGACGGUACUGACGCUGAGACGCGAAAGCGUGGGGAGCGAACAGG
RNAcentral lists this ribosomal RNA (253 nucleotides) under uncultured bacterium. RNAcentral describes it as "partial 16S ribosomal RNA". It matches the Rfam family "Bacterial small subunit ribosomal RNA", at positions 524 to 776 of the family's 1533-position model. The record is from RNAcentral.